Hylaeus anthracinus is the source of this 266-nucleotide long non-coding RNA. RefSeq lists it as uncharacterized. The transcript is spliced from 3 exons. Lineage: Eukaryota; Metazoa; Arthropoda; Insecta; Hymenoptera; Colletidae. The record is from RefSeq and is a predicted model, not a curated record.
CCAUAGUAGUCUUUACCAGUGCGACAUGACAAUGAACUUCAAUACUGCUAUCUUUUUAGGACCAUAUAGGAUCGUUCAACAAAAGAAUUAUUGAAGCAUAAAAUGAUGUGAUGUGAUGUACGUUAGUGUAGACUAUUCCAAUUACGCAGUUGAAAUACUACGAUCUGCCAGAGAGUACAACGGAAGGAUCUAUUAUUGAAGAAUAAGAUGAUGCGGUGUGAUCUAUGUUAGUAUGAUUAGAAAUAAAUUUUCACAUAUUUAUAUUA